Molecule: ribosomal RNA, 815 nt
Filed under: Cladophora sp. JIAC-WT-filamentous 2
Lineage: Eukaryota; Viridiplantae; Chlorophyta; Ulvophyceae; Cladophorales; Cladophoraceae
Description: LSU rRNA
Rfam family: Eukaryotic large subunit ribosomal RNA
Source: RNAcentral
CCUUAGUAACGGCGAGCGAAAAGGGAUGAGCCCAGCAUGUAAAUCUCCGGUUUCCGGCGAAUUGUAGUCUGGAGUAGCAACUCCUGGUGCCGUGCCGGCCCAAGCAUCUUGGAAUAGAUCGCCUCAGAGGGUGAGAGCCCCGUAGGUCGGUACGAGCUCCUACACGGAGUGCUCACGCAGAGUCGGGUUGUUUGGGAAUGCAGCCCCAAUUGGGUGGUAAACCCCAUCUAAGGCUAAAUACCUGUGGGAGACCGAUAGCAAAAAAGUACCUCGAGGGAACGAUGAAAAGACCGCUGGCAAGCGAGUGAAAGAGUGCAUGAAAUUGUAUAGUGGGAAGGGAUGGCCUGGCGUAUUGCCCGCGGGUAUACACUGCUCUUUGAGCUCUUGAAUACACCGUGGGCUGGCUGGUGCCGACACCUGCGCUUGCAAAUCCCCAAACUAAGGUGUUUGGCUCUUCAAGCGCGGGUGUUGAGGUUGAUCGUCGCUUUGUUUUAAACUGCGUCGACAUANCACCAGCUGAAGCCAGUCCAUCUACCCGUCUUGAAACACGGACCAAUGAGUCUAGCAAGUGCGCGAGUCGGUGGGUUCAAACCCACGAUGCGCAAUGAAAGUGAGAGGUGGGACAGCGUAUGCUGGCACCAUCGGCCAACCAUGAUCUUCUGUGAAAGGUUUGAGCAAUAUCGUAUUCGCUAUGACCCGAAAGAUGGUGAACUAUGCCUGUACACGACCAACCCGGCGGAAACGCCAGUGGAUGUCGGUAAAUGUGCUGACGUGCAAAUCGCUUUUCACAUAUGGUUAUAGCGACGGAAAGACUA